This 93-nucleotide transfer RNA is filed under the name Candidatus Coatesiibacteriota bacterium. RNAcentral's name for it is "Candidatus Coatesbacteria bacterium tRNA-Ser". It matches the Rfam family "tRNA". From Rfam's summary of the family: Transfer RNA (tRNA) molecules are approximately 80 nucleotides in length. Their secondary structure includes four short double-helical elements and three loops (D, anti-codon, and T loops). The record is from RNAcentral. Lineage: Bacteria; Candidatus Coatesiibacteriota.
GGAGAGGUGACCGAGAGGCCGAAGGUGAUCGCCUGCUAAGCGAUUGUGCGCUUAAUAGGUGCACCGAGGGUUCGAAUCCCUCCCUCUCCGCCA